RNAcentral lists this ribosomal RNA (491 nucleotides) under uncultured bacterium. RNAcentral's name for it is "bacterial SSU rRNA". It matches the Rfam family "Bacterial small subunit ribosomal RNA", at positions 28 to 526 of the family's 1533-position model. The record is from RNAcentral.
GACGAACGCUGGCGGCGUGCUUAACACAUGCAAGUGGUGCGACGAACCAGGGCUUGCCCUGGGGCCAAGCCGCGAACGGGUGAGUAACACGUGAGUAACCUGCCCCGAUGACCGGGACAACCCGAGGAAACUCGGGCUAAUACCGGAUGUGGUGCACAGAUUGAUUCCGUGCACUAAAGGAAGCUUCGGCCUCCGCAUUGGGAGGGGCUCGCGGCCCAUUAGCUUGUUGGUGGGGUAACGGCCUACCAAGGCAACGAUGGGUAGCUGGUCUGAGAGGACGAUCAGCCACACUGGGACUGAGACACGGCCCAGACUCCUACGGGAGGCAGCAGUGGGGAAUCUUGCGCAAUGCGCGAAAGCGUGACGCAGCGACGCCGCGUGGGGGAUGAAGGCCCUCGGGUUGUAAACCCCUUUCGGCAGGGACGAAGCGAGAGUGACGGUACCUGCAGAAGAAGUCCCGGCUAACUACGUGCCAGCAGCCGCAGUAAAAC